RNAcentral lists this transfer RNA (71 nucleotides) under Laurentiella strenua. Its description in RNAcentral is "tRNA-Trp". It matches the Rfam family "tRNA". Rfam says of the family: Transfer RNA (tRNA) molecules are approximately 80 nucleotides in length. Their secondary structure includes four short double-helical elements and three loops (D, anti-codon, and T loops). Further hydrogen bonds mediate the characteristic L-shaped molecular structure. tRNAs have two regions of fundamental functional importance: the anti-codon, which is responsible for specific mRNA codon recognition, and the 3' end, to which the tRNAs corresponding amino acid is attached (by aminoacyl-tRNA synthetases). tRNAs cope with the degeneracy of the genetic code in two manners: having more than one tRNA (with a specific anti-codon) for a particular amino acid; and 'wobble' base-pairing, i.e. permitting non-standard base-pairing at the 3rd anti-codon position. Lineage: Eukaryota; Ciliophora; Spirotrichea; Sporadotrichida; Oxytrichidae. The record is from RNAcentral.
AGGGGCAUAGUUUAACGGUAGAACAGUGGUCUUCAAAAUCAUAUGCGUGGGUUCGAAUCCUGCUGCCCUUG